UUCUAAAGCAGAUUCUGCUACUUAUUUAGGAAAAAUAAAAAUAAGCUUUUAAAAAAUUGGAAGUGGAGCAGGCAGAUGAGCAGAACAAAAGUCAAUUUUAGUCAUGGAACAUUCCAUUUGCCUAAUCAGGAGAUUUGCUUCUGUCUGAGGACUUUCCUACUCAGUGGAAAGAAACCAAUCUUCUCAAGCAUGUUUCUGUCUCAGCUCUACCCUUCAUGUUCUCCUUUGCUUGCAGCCACCACUCUUCAGGGGUUUUCCCUUCACUCUUCAGCUUUUGUUGUUGUUGUUUGUUAUUGUUUUUGCUAGGAGAGGGAGGUUUUCUGGGGAUGGAACCCAGGACCUAGUGUGUGCUAGGCAUGCACUCUGCCACUACACUACACCCCUAGUCCCUUCCCAAGUUUUAAAGUAAAAUUGUCCCUUGGUAUCCUCAGGGGAUUGAUGGGUUCCAGGACUCUACAGACAGAACCUUGCCUUCCUAAAGUAUGCACAUCCUCAUGGUUACUUUGUAUUCUCUCUAGAUUGCUGGUAAGGCCUAACACAGAAUAAAUGCACUGUAAAUUGUUACAUCAUAUGUGGUUUAGAGACUAAUGAUCUGAAAAAGGUCUGCAUGUACUCAGUACAGAGACAGUCUCUACAUUUCCAGUCAAGGGUGGCUGGCUCCAAGGGUACAGAACCUGCAGAUACUGAGGACCAGCUGCGUUUGUUUGUAC
RNAcentral lists this long non-coding RNA (710 nucleotides) under Marmota monax (woodchuck). Lineage: Eukaryota; Metazoa; Chordata; Mammalia; Rodentia; Sciuridae. The record is from RNAcentral.